GGAAAGAUGUCCGAGCGGUUUAAGGUACAUCCUUGGAAGGGAUGCGUAGCAGAAAUGUUACCGGGAGUUCGAAUCUCCCUCUUUCCG
This 87-nucleotide transfer RNA is filed under the name Treponema sp. RNAcentral describes it as "tRNA-Ser". It matches the Rfam family "tRNA". Rfam says of the family: Transfer RNA (tRNA) molecules are approximately 80 nucleotides in length. Lineage: Bacteria; Pseudomonadati; Spirochaetota; Spirochaetia; Treponematales; Treponemataceae. The record is from RNAcentral.